Molecule: long non-coding RNA, 606 nt
Filed under: Linum usitatissimum (flax)
Lineage: Eukaryota; Viridiplantae; Streptophyta; Magnoliopsida; Malpighiales; Linaceae
Description: long non-coding RNA (LUSI_LNC007080)
Source: RNAcentral
UCGGAUAUUCUCAAUUUGCAGCCCAUUAACUUGCUUUUGGGCCAGGCCUAAAAUAACUUUUUUCUCUAAUUAAUUAGUAAUUACGUUAGCAAUUAAUAUGGCUGAUAUUCUGCUAACAAAUGACGACAAAAAAGUCUCUCCUACUCCUCCACGUCAUCGGCCCAUCAUUUCUAUCGCCAUAUCUCCAACCGUCCCUCACACGCUUUUUUUGUUUCCAUCUCAAAAUUAUUCCCAUUACUUUGUCCUGCUCUCAUCAUCAAAUUCCUCCGGCCGAUCAACCUCCCAACCGCCACCGCAUUACACGACGGCCGAUCAUAUCACUAGGAAGCACGCCACCGAUCCACAGCAGUCCCAACACCCAUAUCUCCAACCGUCCCUCACACGCUUUUUUUGUUUCCAUCUCAAAAUUAUUCCCAUUACUUUGUCCUGCUCUCAUCAUCAAAUUCCUCCGGCCGAUCAACCUCCCAACCGCCACCGCAUUACACGACGGCCGAUCAUAUCACUAGGAAGCAUGCCACCGAUCAAUAGCAGCAACAACAGCAAUUCAACUACCACCGCAACCAGCGACGUCGUAGGCGUCCACACAGAUGACCUCCAGUCGAUCUU